This is an RNA transcript of Anopheles darlingi, 13653 nucleotides long. It is a transcript of the gene named kazrin, with no coding region annotated. Lineage: Eukaryota; Metazoa; Arthropoda; Insecta; Diptera; Culicidae. The record is from RefSeq and is a predicted model, not a curated record. The transcript has 16 exons.
CGAUGGUGAUGACGAUGAUGAUGACGAUGGGCGAACGCUGUUUAGGGAUGAUGGCCACCGUGCGCACAUGCGCAUCGGCCUGUCGUGUGGCGACGAAGCUAUGGGCACACUAACAAUGCUAACAGCCGAACAGUGACUCCGACACCGACACUCCGACACCGACUGGAACGCGAUAAUUUGCCAAACGAGAACGAGAGUUUGGGUUGCGUGCGCGCGUGCACUACGCUUUGUGGCUGCAAUCCGGGGGUUAGUUCCGCUCUUAUCGUGCCCGAGUCCGGUAGCAGCAGUUCUUCGUUUCCCGUGCGUGCCACCCACCCAGCCAGCUGUUAAGUGAAGUGUGCGUGUGUCCAUGUGUGUGUGUGUAUGUGUGUCUGUGCAUCAGUAGUGGCCAAGUGAAACAGCCUAGCCUCAAAACGCCGCCUUGUUUCGUCAGAAAACUUAUUUACAGCGGGAAGGAGUGGCGACGAGAGGAAGCCCAGGCAGAAGCGGAAGCGACGUUUUCCGGAAGCGCAACAAAAAGGAUUCUCCAUUCCUGAGCGGACAGUGCCGCACCGAGGUCGAAACUUAUAUUUUCAAGACGGAAAGCGAGCACCGAGAAAGGAAAGGGGACUGUGGCAGCAAGGUAGCAAAGUGAGAUACUGCUCUGAUCUUCUGCCAGAGUUUGCCUGGAAGCAUACUUCUUCAUCUGUUUCUACCAAUCCAGCAAACCAUCGGUGAGCAUCGCAUCGGUAUGCAGCUGCAGCACAAAUCUCACAAACAACACGUUCACUAGGCAGACCUCGAAACCGGCGGACGACGCGACUGACCGCAUACCAAGUUCCAAUCAUAACCGAUAGCACGGAAGUUUAUCGUUAUCUGCUCUCGAUAGCAUCCUGCGCAAUCCCUGUAUAGCGUGUGUGAGGUGGUCCCACACAUGUUGGAGCCGAAACCGAAAAGGAAAAAAUAAUACCCACCACCGGUGUAAUAUCUUUUCGCCAGUCCCCCAGUUCGCAGAGCGCGGUAGCGCGAAAAAGGCAUUAAUCGGAUCAGAAAAGUCAAAACCACCGGUCAAAGGAUUAAGCAUUCCAGCCAUUCCACCAAAGGGGGGGCCAAACUCGUAGCCGCUGUCCUCUGCGAAUGAGCAUCGCGGUGAAUGCGGUCGAAGUUCGAUCGAACUUUAUCUCCGAAGUCUCCAUGUGGUCGUGCAACCAAUCCUCCCAGCCAACAAGUAUGCUAAUGGUGAAUUGAGUGUCGAGGCUGAGCACGACCAAGACGACCAAAAAGCCAUCGUACGUCACACAGCCCGGUUAAGCGUCUUGUCUCCCCGCCCCGGAAGGAGAGGAAAAACGAGAUUCUCCGGAUUAUACUAUAGCCGGAACGGCGGUGAAAAGCUCGUACGGCAGGUUCCAGCAGCGCAGUUUCCACAGCACGCCACACCACGACACACGUUCGAUGCUGGGGGAGUUUCACCGGAUAUUUGAGAAGACUGCCAUCAACGAUGACACAGUGAACUCCUUUCUGCGCCUGGUUGGAAUGCAGCUAAACGGUACGGCCGGAACCGUCACCAUGGCCGCCGCCUCGGAACCACCCGAGCCACCACCAAGGAAUCCCGACAAAAUCAACGCUUCACUCAAACAGCUCGCCGAAUCGAAAACACGCUCGCUGGAUACGGCCGCCAACGAUAAGGCCGCGGGUGCAUCGAAUGCCGGCACCGGUAGUGCAAGCAAUGGUGGCCGUCCAUUCCGGCCACUGCUAUCGCUCGAUAGCAACGCCAAACCAACCAAACCAUUCGAUGCGACUGACCGUGGCACACCGACAUCGGCUCCUGCCACCGGUUUCGGUGGAUCGGAGGCUGCCACACCGGCCGAUCUAACGCCGGCCGGACAACGACAAUCGAAUCAACCACCACACUCAUCCACCUCGUCCUCCUCAUCAUCCGGAGAGACCGGGCAAAUGGGUGCGAAUGGAAUGGUGGGCCUGGGCGAGGUGGGCACUAGUCCACCCAAACCAUCGACAUCGAGCAGCAGUAGCUCCCAGGGAUUGGCUAACCUGGACAAGGCGAACCCAACAUCCGGGCAACAGGCAGCGAGACAGAUCAGUCCAACCGGAAACACCGCCAUCGGUGCCAGUGACGGUGAUAAUCUCUUCAAGAACGGUGUCACCGAUCUCGAAUCACCACAAACGACCAAAAUACGGCUGGAAAACGAACGUUUAUCGGCGGAGAUUACGCGACUGAAAAAGCUGCUCGAAAACUCGCCCGAUGGUGCCGUCGGUGGGAUCGAGAUGUUCUCCGACAACAACAGCUUCGAUGCACACUCGACGGAUGAUAGCAGCAGCCGGGUGGAGAAGCUGGAGAACGAACUGCGGAUAUCGAAGGAGCUGAUCCAGAGUAAGUGCAGAGCCUCAUUUCUAGUCCGCUUUCCAGUCGCGCCAUCACCAUCAUCUUUCACGUUAUGCGCAGGUCUUAAGCUCGAACGGAAGAAGCUACGGGCGGACAAGAACGAUCUGCUGUCCCAGGUGAAGCAGCUCUGUUCGUCGCUACAGGAGAAGGAAGCCGAACUGCGCAACUUUAUCCGCAACUACGAGCAACGGAUACGGGAAUCGGAGUCUAACUCGGCCAAACAGAGCACGGACCGGGAACGGGAACGAUGGUCACUGUUGAAGCACGCCCGGGAUGAAGCGGAACGUUCGAUUGCUCUGGCCGCGCAGCUUAAUGCCCGCGAUCUGCAGCUUCAGCGGACACAGGAGCAACUCCAGGAAGCACGCCGGCAACUGUCCGGCUGUCUGUCGGAUCAGGAGAGUCUAGUAUCGGCCACCGCACCACUGACACCACCGUCGGGACUGAUGGUUCACAAUCCGGUCUCCGGUGGCUCCGGCGGUGGUGUGUCCGGUGGUGGAGUUGGCAGUGGUGGAUACGGUAACAUCAGUGGAACUCCCGGUGAUCGUGGUUCGUGCAGUGCCGAUUCAGGUGUACGAGACUUUAUUGCAGGGAGUAGCGACCGGGAGAGUGCGGCCGGUGAUCUGAAUCUCAGCGAUGGUCCGUGUGAGAACGGACCGUGUAUACAGGUGGACUCGGACAGUGUCUCGCUGGUUUCCAGUCACCACAAUGUCUAUCAGUAUGGUACACCAAAGGAGCGAAGUCCCACGUUGUCACCCCUGAAUGCGGGCGCCUACUCGCGAUCCGUAGAUAGUGCAGCACUUUCCAGCUCCUACCGAUCGGUCGAGCAGCUGGGAUCACCGGUGGAUAACGAAAAUCAAACGUUCGCCCGAAGGCUACAGCAACAGCAUUCCGCCUCGGGACCCUCUACUGCGUCGGUUUCCUCCGCUAAAGCGCAAGCUUCGGGGCUAACGGGCCGGACCGGACGUGGUGGUACCUGGGGUAGUAUAUCCCGAGUGUUCGCCCGUAGCCGUAACCGUAGCAAGAACGCUCCGAUCGAUACGGAAGCCUCGGACUUCCAGUGGAGCCCACUGACCGAGGAGGGUUACGCCGAGAAGCUGCGGCUACUGCGCGAAGCUUCGUCGAUGCCGAUGGAACGUUGGCGAGCGUCACAGGUGCUGGCGUGGCUGGAGGUGGCCCUCGGUAUGCCCCAGUAUAGUGGGCGCUGUGCCGAGAACGUCAAGAGUGGUAAGGUGCUGCUGGAACUCAGCGAUGCCGAGCUGGAAACCGGGCUCGGUACCUCACACCCGAUGCACCGGAAAAAGCUUCGGUUGGCCAUCGAAGAGCAAAGACGGCCGGAACUGGUGCGCUAUCCCACCAUCGGACAACUGGGACACACUUGGGUCGCGUCGGAAUGGCUACCGGACAUUGGGUUGCCACAGUAUUCGGAAUCGUUCAUGCACUCGCUCGUGGACGCUCGGAUGUUGGAUACACUGUCCAAGAAGGAGCUGGAGAAGUACCUGGGAGUUACCAGGAAGUUCCAUCAGGCUAGCAUAGUCCAUGGUAUACACGUACUGCGCAUCAUGAAGUACGACCGUCAGGCGAUCGCCAUGAGAAGGCUACAGUCGGAGAACGUAGACACGGAUCCGAUCGUAUGGACCAACCAACGAUUCAUCCGCUGGGCAAGGUCAAUCGACCUCGGCGAGUAUGCGGAAAACUUGAAAGAUAGUGGCGUACACGGUGGACUAGUCGUUCUGGAACCGUCCUUCUCUGGCGAUACCAUGGCGACGGCGCUCGGUAUUCCACCAUCGAAGAAUAUCAUCCGGCGCCAUCUGGUGACCGAGUUUGACGCACUCAUUCUACCGGCAAGAGCGACCCUUGGCCAGGGCAUACGGACCGGCGGUGGCACGGUAAUACCGAUUUCGAGCGGUAUCGGGAUGAUGACGCCCGGGGCUUCCGCAUCAGGUGUUGAUCGGCGCAAUACGGGCAGCUUGCGCGACCGGUUGCGUACGGUGAAAGCGGAUGACAGCUACGGUCUGCUGGAGUGCUGCGAUGAAGAAGAGGAGGACGAGGAGGAAUAGGAGCAAAGAAGGCCUGCGCGCGAAUCAAACAUUCUUUGCUAUGAAAUAGCAUCUUCGCUUGCUUAUGAUUACAGAUAAGAGAUAAGUUUAAUGUUACUCGCACACUACUCGCCCGGCUGCUCGUUGAUCCGUCGAUCUUAGUAUCCGAGCAACGGUUACGGUUCGACCGAUUCCACGAUGUCGAAUUCCCCAAUAAGUGCGCGAGAGCACUGGAGCAUCCAGCAAACUCGGUGACACGUAUUGUAAUCGAUCCGGAACGAUACUGGGAAGGUCCUCUCUCUCGCAGUCCUCAUGUUAUGCCUACCAUGAUCGUCGUCGCCUACUACGCCACCGUCUUGUCGUUCUUCUGGCACGUUUCUUGAAAUGCUAGACACCGUCGCCUGUACGUGUGCGCUUCCGUGUGUGUGUGCGUGUAUGUCCCCGGACACGGUUUGACAUUCCGUCAGAUAAGCAUCCGGUGCUGGUGGUCGGUAGUGUGAGCAUUGCGAUAUGUACGUAUGGUACGUUGACUCUGGUCUUGGGCUCUGUUAAGGUGGUUCACCGUGACCCGAAUGCGGUACUAGCGCAGAUGCACAAGGGCCGAGCCCGAACCACGAUUAUCUUGGCUUCGCUUACGUCAGUCCCUGUGGCGAAGUUGAGGUGGGUCACUAGCUCAUGCCACAGCCUUUUUCAACAAUCUAUUUAUCCUUCUCCUGCCUACCCAUUCCGAGUGUUCCGGGUGUUCCGGGUGAGAAGACGCCAAAGACACCUGACGCUGGUGCGCCUGGUUGCUCCCUUUUGCCUGCCUUCGCUCGUGAAAUCGCUCGAGUGUGUGUGUUUUGAGGCUUGGUUUCCAGUUUUUUUCCCCUUUUUUCGUAUUUUUGUCACAAACAGCGAGCGCCUCACAAAUGAAUGUUCCAUCCAUCCAUCCAUCCAGCCCAAACCAAACCAUCCGUUAGCCAUGGUGCGCAUACCGAAGGAGAUAAGUCGCGCGAAGUGAAGUGUUCCAUACGCGCCUGCCACAUCGCUUCCGGUUGUUGGCCGGAAACAGGUGCUCCAGUUUCGCGACGUCAGUUUGUGGCUGGCACCAUUUGUAUUUAUGUGACUUCUUGUUUGCUUUGACGGGCUAUGUAAAUUUUAGAUGAACCACCGCCUACUACUAGCUCCUCCACAACACCCCGUACAACACACACGUGCACAUGCAUAUGACGGUCCCUGGUCUGUAUGCCCUGGAAAGGAAAAUUCCAAAUCCUCCUUCCUUCUCGUUCCUUGGUACCCAACCACCGACCCUCCGCCACCCACUAAACACCCCAAACCAAACAUUGAGCCAAGGGCUCCGUGGCUGGCUGGUUGGUUUCGCGAUGUGCUGCUCCGCGGGGUAGGAUUUUAUGUUAAUUUUUACAAACAUGGCCUUAUCCUUGCUCGAAGCGGUUAGUAGGCUUUGCUGGUUGGAAGCCUCCGAAUCUGCCUCCAACACCUUGACAACAGCAGAAAACAGCAGCGUGUCUGAAAAGCGUGUGUGUCGUGUUGUGACAUCCAAACAACUCUUCUUACUACAAAGGUAAGCUUUAUACGAGAUGAGCUAUGAGAUGGAAAGGUUGUCAAAAACUGUUCAAUCAUUUCAAAGACCUAUCGUAAAGCCACAGCACGGCAAUGCCGUGAUUGGGCUGCCAGUCCGUACUGACCCCAGUUCGGUACAGUCAUUAACCUCUACAGUUCAAGCAGGAAUUACCUUGGCAACCAUUUUGAGCGUCAAUCACCAUACCGAAGUCGAGCACAAGCCCUCCGGUGCAUCAUAACGAUGUUAAAUGGUUUCGAUCAAUCUUAGGGCACAAUUCAAUGGAGAGAGAGAGAGAGAGAGAGAGAGGAGAGGCCAGUUGCCAGUGCAGCAGUCCAAAACGAGGAACUGACGAGGACGAGGUUCAAUCUCGCUCUCGCUCCCUGUCACUGACAGGUCACCACAGGAUAUCGAUUGAAAUGGAAAUGGCGUCCAGUUCGUUGGGUGCGAGUUGUUGUAAAACUAAGAGAGAGAGACAGCGAGAGAGAGGAAGUGAGUGCAUCGGAGCAGAUGCACAACCGGAGAUGCAUCGAGGGGGACCUGUAUGUUGUGGCCUGCCAUUGAGACGAGUGUGCGUCAAUGCAAACCGUCCCGCUGUACGUUUGCCAGGGAUGAAAUUCAGUAUUGAAGUUGUUGGUGCACAAUUCUCUCCCUCUCUCUCUCUCUCUCUACGUCUCUCUUGGGGCCGUCAAUAACAGGAGACCAUUGGAGGGUGGUGCAAGCGGACAAGAUGGCGGUUUUGCAAUAUUAAUUGCCUCGAGCGGCCGUCGUUUCCUGUUGCCUUGCACAGUAUUUGGUGGAGCAGCAGCCAUAUUGUAGGAAUAGUUUCUCGCUGCAUUUGAAGUUUCCAACUGGGAGCGAGUGAACCGAGAACCGAACCCGAGCCGUGGGCGGCUUAAAGAGGGAUUACGCUUUAAGCUGCUUUAAACAUUCCCAUUCCCGGGAAUGGGGGUCGGGAUGUUUGGCGUUGCCGGACUUGGUAGAUUGACCGCGAAUGCGAAGUGAACCGAUGAAUCCCUUUUUUUAUAUUCCCCUCUCGGAAAUCGGAGCACUACCAACAGUGAAGGUGAAGAGGGCUGCUACCAGCAGCAUUUUUCGCAUCGACGCUAAUUGCGUUUGCAUCGAUCGGAUCCGUCGUCGAAUGCGUCGGUCGAUGGCCCAACAUCAAACGAGCGAUGGCGUCCCAAAAAGGGGCCAAAAGAGUGCCAAAAGCCAUAUCGUGGGCUCCGGGGAACUGCCACGAUGGCUGGAAGGAAGUUUAUAAAAUAAAGUUCCAAAUAAAGAGACUCCCUCCGAUUCCUCGAACGACGAUAACGACAACACCAUGCGCGAACGCUCAAAACGACAUCGCAAGACGCUGGUAAAUCUUGUCAACCUUUGCUGCUGAUGUUACCUCUCUUCCUUGAACCUUGUUGUGGGAUACGGAAGCUGAAGGAGUGAGGAAGAGACGGGUCACAAGACACGGUAAAACAAUUUCCCGAUUACGGUGACGAUGAAACUUUGGCUGGCUGGUUGUUCUUCCCUCUCUUCCAGCGGUGGCCCCGCGGGUGCUUAGAGUUCGUUGUGUUGUUCGUGACUCUUUCACAAUCCACGAGCCACGAGCCAGCGAGUUAGCGAUCGAUCGAUCGAACACGAUAACGACCAAAGGCCGACGAGCGGCGAAAAAGGGGUGUGGGGUGUGGGAAAUUCGAAUUCCAUCGAGCUGAACGCUGUUCGCUUCGACGCUAUCCUUUCAUCCUUUUCUUUGGCGACGUCUCGGUGUUCUCUUCUCGUACCGAGAUGCGUCAAUCUAAAGCGCGUAGACAAUCCGAGUUGGGGGUCGCAAAGAAUGACGACGCUGCCGACGAUGACGAUUAAGAAAACGGGCGAAACCACAAACCACUGACUGCGUAGGUUGGUUAAUCCGAUUGGCAAUUUCGUUAGUCUUCCUCUCCGUUUUUUUUUUCUGCGUCCACAACCACUACCGGUACCACGAAAUGGGAAACGAUUUGUCGGGAGUUAUGCACGUCAUCAGCGCGGCGGUCAAUCGUUUUUAUUAUGGUGCUGCAAGCAUUGAAGCGGCUUAUCGCAUAGCAUGUAAUAAGCUUUUAAGCUUUAGCACCAAUGCUACGAAUGCCAAGAGUUAUAAUCAGAUGAAAAGGCAAUUCCCGAACUUUAUAUUUCUCAAUUGAGUUGUUUAAUAAUGUUUCCCUUUUUCCGAUGGUUUGGUAAAAAAAUUGCAAUAAAUUGAAAACAUUUUUUAUGGAACAAGCACCGUACAAAGGGUAUCAAACGGUGCAGGAGGGAACAUUUUUGCCGAAAAAUAAAACCUCUCGCUGGCAAAACGGUCAACCCAUCGGUGUGGGGGCCUGUGAAGCUUUUUGAGUAACCAAGUUAUGACCGCGAAAACUUUUCCAAUUAAGCGGUUUCCGCACAUGAGUCCCGCACCACCAUCACCAUCACCACACAUGCCAGUCCGUCAGUGCAGUGCAUGAUAUUAGUUCUGGGCUCUAAUAUAGCACUCGGACGCAAUCAUUUCUCGUCCAUGUUUGCAUGUUAUCUGACCGGUACCGUCGUCUGGUUGCUUCAAACUUCCUUCACGAAAGCUAGACUCCCGGGAGCACGCGAGUGUUGUUUGUGGUAACUCCGUAGUAGUAGCUUCGCAUGAGAAGAGUACGGAAGGGUGAUAUCGUUGCUGAAUACUACUGUUAAACAUAUUGUAUAAUGUUUGAGUAUAGUAGAGGCUAAUUGCUGUAGUGUGAUAACUGUUGUAGGAAAAGUCAGACGUAAUACAAAAAUCUAUUGAAUUGUGUUUUUGGCAAGGGUAUUCCUUAUUUUUAUGAAAAUUUCGAAUUUCUUCGCGAUACGUUUCUUGAACUGAUUCAUUAGAAUAAUGAAUUAGAGCUUUACCAUUAGUUGAAGGUCACUCGAGGAAAAUUUCUGUCCAGUGCUCUGAUAUGAUUGGCACGUUCCUCAUACUGGUCACUCGAUAAAAUCCGAUUCAAACGGUCUAAGAACGUCAUUGACACUUCUCGGCAGAAGUCGAAAUGUCGAUUAAAGAAAAGUAGUAGAAGCAGAACUCAGGAAUACUGUGGUCUGCCCAUUUCGACAUUUCGAGCAUCUCUGGAAAAACAAUCUUCAUCAAAAAAACAAAACUACUUAAUACAUUUGAUGAAAAAAAGCAAAAACUCAUAAUCAACUCCAUAUAAUGUUUUUUAUUCAAUGUAGCUUAAUCGCAAUUACCAAAAUACAAAAUCAAAACAACAUAGAAUUAUUGUACAGAGUACCUCAUAAGUUUUUGAUCCUGGUAUGGAAUCUAUUUUAUUUAAACUUGCGAGCUACCACUCCAAUUACUGAACCAUUAUUGCAUACAAAAAAGGCUCUAACAUAACUGUAACAUUUAUUAACAUUUGUAAAUGGGUUAAAAAAACUAUCAAACUUGUUUUUUACACUGCAACUAUAAAUGAAAGCUACAUCCCUGUUUCGAGACACUUUUUUUUAGAUGAUCUGUCUUAUCAGCUAUUUAUAAGCGAAUAAUAAAAAUUCCCCAAGAACAUAGAGCACAUUCAUGAGAAUGAUUUCUCAUUAUGACGAAGGAAACAUUAUAAUUCCCUAGUCUGUAUGAUGCGCUCAUUGCCUAUUCAUUAGGGAUUAAAGCAUCAUGGCAUAUUGUCUCCCCUCGAAUGGUGGAAUCGAACUACAAUCCCUUUUGCUGCAAGAACAGUAACGCGUUACUUAAGCAGCACUGAAAGCACUGAUCUGUCUCUAUUCCGUCGAUCUAGGUCAAGUAUUCUUCGGGGUCCUUUACGCAUUCCACAGUCUGUACAGCAGUGCGCAGUGGUGAUGAAUCAUAUUCCUGCUUAUUGCAACACUGUUAAACCCAGCAUCAUUUCUGGUUCUGCUUCGGUUCGCUCCAGUCCAGGAUGCAUAAAAGGAGAAUCAAACAUGCACACUGUGGCACCGAACGAUGCAACGGAGUGGUCUUCUGGUCUGGUGGCACUAGUAACGGGUUAGAUGAAGCAAAAGACCCCUUCUCAUCCUUACCGACCAGAAUAAAUAGUCAUCACUGGCCGGAAAUUACCUUCUCCAAUGUGCAGCACACCGAACCGGACAGUGUAUUCCCAUCUGGUCCCUGGUAUCAUCGUCCCACCAUCCGUCUCAUUCGCUUUUUGAUGUGACCCCGGACUCAUUUGCAACUCCUUCUGCUUCAUCGAGCUACCGAGAGGUCACUUUGUCCGGCGGCAAAUUAUUGAUGCCGGUUGUAGCAUAACUUUGAAUUCGAGAACUUAUAAGCUUCUAACCAUUAGGUGAGCGAGGAUAGCAUGCCAAUCCGUGUGCUGGGGCACAAUGCGCUGGCCGUGCUGAGUCAAUAUUUGAUUUAAAUUCAUUCAAACUUUCUGCUCGUAACGCGCUGUAUCGCUUGAUGGUGCCGGCCAUUUAGCAUGAAUGCGCGCGUAUUCAAUGAAAGCGUUGAAGCGAUGAAAGCUGACUCCAAAAUUAAAUCCCUCGCUACAUCCUCGCGCGCUCCUCCGCGGUCUGCGAGCUUUUCCGACCAGCAUAUACCAGCCCAGGAAGGGCACCACCGAACCUGCCUGUACGUGCGCCGUGCUCGAUACCAGAUCAAAGGUGAACGAAUCAAUCAUCCUCAAAUCAAAUCAAAUAUGCAAAAUUGACUUGUGCAAAGGCAACGUCCAUAUAGCACGAGACGAGGGAAGGGAAAAGGCGCCGGGAAUAUUCUCCGCAACUCAAUCUCUUGCCAUUGGACUUACCUUUACCUGGUUGAUCGGUAUCAUUCUCAAUAGCAAUUUACAUGUGAUUAAUGACCAUAUACGGGAGGGGAAUCGGAAGGAAAGGGAACGGUGUUCAUUUCAUUAGCAGCAUUGCAAACGUUUCCGUCGAGCACCUGCGUCUUUGUGCUACACUUACGAUGAUUGGAGUGAAGUGGUUCCGGACAAACUGGCUCAAGAUGGAUAGUUUCUAAUUGAACGUCAAACGAUUCUUCCCUCUUCUCUCAUCCUGACGCGUUAAAUCGAUCUGCCUUCGGCCUGUCACUUGUAAGUGUAUGAUGCACGCAAUGAACGAUGCAAACUUUCUUCCUCAGGACACUCUUCGUCCCGGUUCGAAGUGGUUUAAUAGCUUCCAGCUACUACUACUACUACCACUAGCCGGCAUGAAAUGCAGAGCAAAAUUAAAUUGAACGCCACUCGUUCAUAUCUACUGCUAUUAAACGACGUCUCGCUAACGACCCAUCCGUUUAAUGUGUCCUUAUCAUCCGGCUCCGGAGCCAUCCGGUGAUAGUACCACCCCGCCGGGUGGUAAACGGAAACCUCUUUGCCUCGAAGCACUACUUCGAGGCUGCACGUGGCAUUUAAAUUGUGAAGCAGCGUGCCCACUAUGUAUUUCGUGCCACCACCAUCAUCAGCUUCGUGCUCUAUCCUUGAAUCCUAUCCUGCCCCUUCCCCCGUGGAAACCACCCCCGGAAACAACAACAGCAACAGAGGAGUGAACCGCCGUGAAGUAGCGUCUGAUAAACCAACGAACGGGAACCUUUGCACCGCUGCUUGUUGCAGCGAGAAAGCGGCCAUCGGAUACCGAAAAUGCUCACACAGCAAACAAUUGAAAAACGUGAUUUUGUCCUUGUGGCGCUUCUUAAGGACCCCUUCGCCCUCCCUCCACCCCUCGACCUGCAUUAACGAUGCCCCGAAUUCACUCAACACACAGCGAAUGGUACAACGCGAAGCGAAGCGUAGCAUCGCCCCUAGGCGCACCAUUCUGCAGCCACCCUAAUUCCUUGCCGGAAGGAGAUUCUUGUUUUAUUUUGUGAGCUUACUUCAUUAUCACUGCCGUCGUUUUUGGGGGAAGAGGGGACAGUAAGUUUCCUGUCAGCUCCGUUAAAAAAAAACAUUUAUUUCUAUUUGUUUGUUGCUCGGAUUGAUGGUCUGUUUGCGUAGCCGAAAAAGCGUUUUUCAUUUUCUUUCCAUCACAAUGCAACCGGAACAAUGUACCAGCAUUGCAUUUGUUUAUCGCAAAAAAGGGACAUCAAACAUUCGUCUAAAAAUGAUGGAUGGAUAGGUUAACGCAAAUGUAGGUAAUAAUAAUAAAAAAAAUAACAGAAAUCAUUGGACUAUGGGGGCAUCCGCGUAUUUAAACAGGUGAUGGAGAUACUAAAAAAAGCGAGCAACUCACUCCAGUUAUCUCUCCGUACUAGCUUACUCAAUCAAUCGAUCGUUACUUUUAAAUUAAAUGCAAAAGCAAAGGGAGCUGCUACUUAAAACGACACCGUCGCCGAUCUCAUGUAUAGCACAAUUCGCACGCAACAGAAUAUAGCCAAGUGAAAUGCUCCGUGAACCGCGAAACCGCGGGGCUUAGCGCAGGAAUUAGCCAAAAUGCAAAGAUAUUGAUUGGUGAUUGGUAAUAAGAUAGAUUUAAACUACGCGUGACCCGUCGAUCGGUACGAUCGCGCUCCUAGACCCAAGCUUUGGUAGCGAAAUGCAAACAAUGCAUCAUUCCACAUAUUUAAAGGGAGAGAGAUAAAGAGAGCGAGAGAGAGAGCGAGCAAGAGAGAAAGGGCACUAUCUAUGAAUAUAUUUUUUCGGUAAAUUCUUUUUUGUACAGUACGAUCAACUCGUAAGAAGGCGGCACAGAAAAACGGCAUCAACCGUAACGCAUGAUAAGAGUACUGCCCAUUGCCCCGCGGACAGUAGCUCGCCAAAUGUGUGUAUCUAUCUGUAUGUCUGUCGUGGGGAUGUGGAUGCAAACGUAAAGGAUCGUAUUCGGAUCGAAAAUAUGAUUGAUGUGAUUGGGUGGAGGAUUUUUCGGGAUAAAGAAAAACAAUCGAAUCAAAGGUAAGGAUGCGAAGCAAACCCGAUCUUGUACGAUAUCCCUUAAAACACACACACUCACACAAAAGAGAGAGAGAGAAAGAGGGAGGCAUCCAUGAUAUGAUAAGGCAGACAGACGUCGACGUGCUCAAAGCAUAAAUAAAACUCUAUUAAUCAUCGAACAAAACAGAAAAGGGAAAUCACAUCAAAAUGUGUUGUGCAGUGAAAGGAUCCUCUUCACUUCAAUCCAAAUUCAGCACCUUCCAGCAUUAUGUUCCCAUUUUCCAUUUAAUUUUAUAGCCAAGUGACCAAGGGGUCAACUGCAUAACGCUGCUCGUAAGUAAAGGUAGAAGCCGUAGGGGCUGGGAUACAAAUGGCUCCACGGGUAAGAUCGACUUUCGUCUUAACAUCCGGAUCCGGUAUCUAAUAUCUCACGUGUUGCUGCUUGUCAACUAUUUUGCAUGCCUUGGUUUGCCUCGAUUAAUGCUCGACUUUUUGUUCUUUCAAUCCAUUAGCAUAAUCCUUACUGCCAACUGUUAUAUGCAUCUCUCAUCAGUCACUCUCCAGAACUAAUCUGUUUUCCAUUCCCAACCCAUCAUGGUAUGCGUGCGUGCGUUUGUGUCCUUUCUACUUUCCAUCUCACGGAUUUGCUGACAUCUUGGGCUACCCACAUCCUGCCACAUCCUGCAUGAUUGUUCGCCUUGACCGUCUCGCCGACGGCUGUUGCAGUUUGCAGCCUGGAAAGGAUCACAGGGUUCACUAACCAAGGCAUUCCGGAUGAGCUCCGGGUAUAAACCGCGCAGCAGCAAUGGCACAGGAGGUGGCGGUGGCAGUGGCCCUGGAUCUGAUAAGAACAGCGUGUACAGCUCGACCUCACCG